UACGUAGGGUGCGAGCGUUGUCCGGAAUUAUUGGGCGUAAAGAGCUUGUAGGCGGUCUGUCGCGUCUGCUGUGAAAAUCCGGGGCUCAACCCCGGACUUGCAGUGGGUACGGGCAGACUAGAGUGUGGUAGGGGAGACUGGAAUUCCUGGUGUAGCGGUGAAAUGCGCAGAUAUCGAGAGGAACACCGGUGGCGAAGGCGGCUAUCUGGACAGUGACUGACGCUGAGACGCGAAAGCGUGGGGAGCAAACAGG
RNAcentral lists this ribosomal RNA (253 nucleotides) under uncultured bacterium. RNAcentral's name for it is "partial 16S ribosomal RNA". It matches the Rfam family "Bacterial small subunit ribosomal RNA", at positions 524 to 776 of the family's 1533-position model. The record is from RNAcentral.